AGCAGCCGCGGUAAUUCCAGCUCCAAUAGCGUAUAUUAAAGUUGUUGCAGUUAAAAAGCUCGUAGUUGAAUUUCGGGAUUGGCGCAUCGGUCGUGCCUCACGGGGUAUGAACUGGUGCAGUCAAUUUCUCACCUUCUGGAGAACCGCGAUGUCCUUAAUUGGAUGCCGUGGGGAACCAGGACCUUUACUUUGAAAAAAUUAGAGUGUUUAAAGCAGGCAUUUUUGCUUGAAUACAUUAGCAUGGAAUAAUAAAAUAGGACGGCAUGGUUCUAUUUUGUUGGUUUCUAGGACCACCGUAAUGAUUAAUAGGGAUAGUUGGGGGCAUUAGUAUUCAAUUGUCAGAGGUGAAAUUCUUGGAUUUAUUGAAGACUAACUACUGCGAAAGCAUUUGCCAAGGAUGUUUUCAUUAAUCAAGAACGAAAGUUAGGGGAUCGAAGACGAUCAGAUACC
This 450-nucleotide ribosomal RNA is filed under the name uncultured Glomeromycotina. RNAcentral describes it as "SSU rRNA". It matches the Rfam family "Eukaryotic small subunit ribosomal RNA", at positions 569 to 1016 of the family's 1831-position model. The record is from RNAcentral. Lineage: Eukaryota; Fungi; Glomeromycota.